This 253-nucleotide ribosomal RNA is filed under the name uncultured bacterium. RNAcentral's name for it is "partial 16S ribosomal RNA". It matches the Rfam family "Bacterial small subunit ribosomal RNA", at positions 524 to 776 of the family's 1533-position model. The record is from RNAcentral.
UACGUAGGUGGCAAGCGUUGUCCGGAUUUAUUGGGCGUAAAGAGCGCGCAGGCGGUUCGUUAAGUGCGAGGUGAAAUCUCCCGGCUCAACUGGGAGGGGUCUUCGCAUACUGGCGGGCUUGAGGAGAGCAGAGGUGAGCGGAAUUCUCGGUGUAGUGGUGAAAUGCGUAGAUAUCGAGAGGAACACCGGUGGCGAAGGCGGCUCACUGGGCUCCACCUGACGCUGAGGCGCGAAAGCGUGGGGAGCGAACAGG